Molecule: ribosomal RNA, 441 nt
Filed under: uncultured bacterium
Lineage: Bacteria
Description: partial 16S ribosomal RNA
Rfam family: Bacterial small subunit ribosomal RNA
Source: RNAcentral
CCUACGGGAGGCAGCAGUGGGGAAUAUUGCACAAUGGGGGAAACCCUGAUGCAGCAACGCCGCGUGAGUGAAGACGUAUCUCGGUAUGUUAAGCUCUUUUAGCAGGGAAGCAGAAAGACGGUCCCGGACCAAGAAGCCCCGGCUAACUACGUGCCAGCAGGCGCGGUAAUACGUAGGGGGCAAGCGUUAUCGGGAUUUACUGGGGGUAAAGGGAGCGUAGGCGGCUGUGCAAGUCUGAAGUGAAAGCCCGUGGCUCAACCGCGGAACUGCGUGGGAAACUGUGUAGCUCGAGUAGUGGAGAGGCAGGCGGAAUUCCUGGUGUAGCGGUGAAAUGCGUAGAUAUUAGGAGGAACACCAGUGGCGAAGGCAGCCUACUGGACAACAACUGACGUUGAGGCUCGAAAGCGUGGGGAGCAAACAGGAUUAGAUACCCUAGUAGUC